Molecule: non-coding RNA, 1827 nt
Organism: Biomphalaria pfeifferi
Lineage: Eukaryota; Metazoa; Mollusca; Gastropoda; Planorbidae
Source: the annotation of a GenBank genome assembly
UUUUUUUUUUUUUUUUUUUUGAAACAAAAUUUUGUGUCAGACUUCUGUAAAAUUCACCAACUUUUCUUAUGCUGCUAUAUAGGUUUUUUUUGGUUUGUUUUUGAAUGUGUUAAAGUUAUGCUUACACCAAAGUUUCUUUAUUGAAAUUAUAUUUCAGAAAUUGACUUAAUUAUUACUGGAAAAAAAUCCCCAUUAAUGUGGGUAUUAAAAAAAAACUAUUUCUUUUAAUGUUCAAGAAACAAAUGCAAAUAGUAUUCUUCUGAAUGAAACAUUUACAGAAUCUAAAGAAAUGCCCUCCAAUCAAAAGACUGUCACAUUUUUGUCCUUUCUGUACUGUUCCUUUUUAUCACUCAAGAUGGACACAAGAAUUGUGUUCUACAUCUUCUUUUUGAAAGUUGUUUUUUUCUAUUCUCUACCAUAGUCUGUGUAUGAACUCAUUUCGUGAACAUGAUUGUACUUGUGACUGCCUAGUUAAUGGGGGUCAGUAAGACGAAAACAAAAAUAUGUUCAUUUUAAUUGUUUUCCAUUCAAUAGAAAUACAGAAGCCAGUAAAAAAUGGCGGUACAACCAGUGAAAACUGUUUUUGUGUUUUCACCUGUUAUGCUUUAAAACAUGGAGUUUCAUUUCUAAUUUGUGUUGAUUUUAGUGAUAACAUUAUAUCAUACAAGAUUUUGAAAAUCAUAGGAAUUAUUUUACUUUGUGUUUGGCAAUUUUUUUCUUCCUUCUAAAAACAUCAACUUUGAAUUUUUUGUUAUUUUAAGGUGCAAUGUCAGUAUCAUUAUUUUCAGUAAGUUGUGUUGAAGAAAAAAAAAGUUGAGUAUGUUAAGACAAUUUAAAAUAAUCAAAAUAUUGCCAUGCACAUUCACAUGUGAACAGUUCAUUUUGAUGACUUCAUUUUAAAAGAAAUCACCAAAGUUUUAUGACUAGUUCUUCUGUAAAAGUACAAGUUUUAUGAUGUAUGCAUAACAGGGGAAGAUCUCCUAGUCAAUUCUAUUCAUUUCUUCUUCUGUUCAUAGUUAAUAUAUUUGUCCAUACAUUUCUUAUGUUCUCAUUGUGUCCAUACAUUGUUUCAUCCAUAUGUCUACCUUCAGAGAGUCUUCUUCAUCUAGUGCUUCAUCAUUGCAAACAACUUUUUAUUUGGGUUGUGUAGCCAAGUAAACUGUAAUUUUAUUUGUAAAUUUGUACAAAUGACCAGGAGUAAUUCAAAUCAUGAUUGAUGUUAUCAGCAUCAUUUAUUGUGUUAUAAAAAAAAGAAAAAGUUUUCUUGCUUGUCCUAUUUGAAGUGAAAUCAGAGCUCAACCUGUUCCUUUGGUUGUGAAACUCUUAGAUUUGGUUUUGUUCAUUUUAAUUGACAAGACACUACAAAAUAGCUUUUCACUUCAAGUUUUUAAAUUAGUGUGUGUUAAAAUUACAUUUGUUGCAAUUUAAAGUUUUUAUGCUAUUUUUAACAAUUAAUAAAAACACUUUUUUUUAAAAUGUGAGAAACAUGAAACUAUUUGUUGAAACUCUGAAUUCUCUGAGCAAGGUAGCAAAGUAAUGCAUGUACUUGACAUGACUACUAUCACACUGUCCUUGCCCAAUAUGGCAUACAAUUUAUAAUCUUUAGUGUGCAAACAAACUAUACAAAUAUUUUUUUUUACAUUUCACAAGCUUUAGUAUUACAACAAAGAAGAGUAGAGUUUCUGUAUAUUUUUGUACAAAUUUCAAUCAGUUGAUACACUGAGUAUGACUGGAGCGAACAAAAUUAUUUUUUAUUUAUUGGCGAGAAGACUAUUUUAAAUCUGUACUAAAAACUUUCUAUUCCCCCCCCCCCCCCCCUUUUUUUUU